RNAcentral lists this unclassified non-coding RNA (240 nucleotides) under soil metagenome. RNAcentral's name for it is "partial contains 5.8S ribosomal RNA, internal transcribed spacer 2, and large subunit ribosomal RNA". The record is from RNAcentral.
AACCAUAGAAACCUGCGGAGUACCUGCGGAGGGAUCAUUAACAACCAUAUAAAAUCAUUAACGAGAAUUUCAUUUGUUCUCGUUUUUAUUUUUUUCCACAUAAACCCCUUUAUAGUCUUGGUCGGUGGUCAGCUCAGCUUUUCCAGUUCUUUUUAGUUCUGGAGCGCUUAUGCUGCUGCUGUCGCUGAGAAAAACCGUUAUUGUCUUUACUAUUGGUGAACACCAAGUCAACAAACAAAA